GUUUGUCGCGUUGUUCGUGAAAUCUCACGGCUUAACUGUGAGCGUGCGGGCGAUACGGGCAGACUUGAGUACUGCAGGGGAGACUGGAAUUCCUGGUGUAGCGGUGGAAUGCGCAGAUAUCAGGAGGAACACCGGUGGCGAAGGCGGGUCUCUGGGCAGUAACUGACGCUGAGGAGCGAAAGCGUGGGGAGCGAACAGGAUUAGAUACCCUGGUAGUCCACGCCGUAAACGGUGGGUACUAGGUGUGGGUUUCCUUCCUUGGGAUCCGUGCCGUAGCUAACGCAUUAAGUACCCCGCCUGGGGAGUACGGCCGCAAGGCUAAAACUCAAAGAAAUUGACGGGGGCCCGCACAAGCGGCGGAGCAUGUGGAUUAAUUCGAUGCAACGCGAAGAACCUUACCUGGGUUUGACAUGCACAGGACGCCGGCAGAGAUGUCGGUUCCCUUGUGGCCUGUGUGCAGGUGGUGCAUGGCUGUCGUCAGCUCGUGUCGUGAGAUGUUGGGUUAAGUCCCGCAACGAGCGCAACCCUUGUCUCAUGUUGCCAGCGGGUAAUGCCGGGGACUCGUGAGAGACUGCCGGGGUCAACUCGGAGGAAGGUGGGGAUGACGUCAAGUCAUCAUGCCCCUUAUGUCCAGGGCUUCACACAUGCUACAAUGGCCGGUACAAAGGGCUGCGAUGCCGCGAGGUUAAGCGAAUCCUUUUAAAGCCGGUCUCAGUUCGGAUCGGGGUCUGCAACUCGACCCCGUGAAGUCGG
This 753-nucleotide ribosomal RNA is filed under the name uncultured bacterium. Its description in RNAcentral is "bacterial SSU rRNA". It matches the Rfam family "Bacterial small subunit ribosomal RNA", at positions 578 to 1329 of the family's 1533-position model. The record is from RNAcentral.